Molecule: ribosomal RNA, 899 nt
Filed under: Salmonella enterica
Lineage: Bacteria; Pseudomonadati; Pseudomonadota; Gammaproteobacteria; Enterobacterales; Enterobacteriaceae
Also listed under: 1 other name
Description: partial 23S ribosomal RNA
Rfam family: Bacterial large subunit ribosomal RNA
Source: RNAcentral
CAGGUUUACCUGUGUGACUGCGUACCUUUUGUAUAAUGGGUCAGCGACUUAUAUUCUGUAGCAAGGUUAACCGAAUAGGGGAGCCGGAGGGAAACCGAGUCUUAAUUGGGCGUUAAGUUGCAGGGUAUAGACCCGAAACCCGGUGAUCUAGCCAUGGGCAGGUUGAAGGUUGGGUAACACUAACUGGAGGACCGAACCGACUAAUGUUGAAAAAUUAGCGGAUGACCUGUGGCUGGGGGUGAAAGGCCAAUCAAACCGGGAGAUAGCUGGUUCUCCCCGAAAGCUAUUUAGGUAGCGCCUCGUGAAUUCAUCUCCGGGGGUAGAGCACUGUUUCGGCUAGGGGGCCAUCCCGGCUUACCAACCCGAUGCAAACUGCGAAUACCGGAGAAUGUUAUCACGGGAGACACACGGCGGGUGCUAACGUCCGUCGUGAAGAGGGAAACAACCCAGACCGCCAGCUAAGGUCCCAAAGUCAUGGUUAAGUGGGAAACGAUGUGGGAAGGCCCAGACAGCCAGGAUGUUGGCUUAGAAGCAGCCAUCAUUUAAAGAAAGCGUAAUAGCUCACUGGUCGAGUCGGCCUGCGCGGAAGAUGUAACGGGGCUAAACCAUGCACCGAAGCUGCGGCAGCGACGCUUAUGCGUUGUUGGGUAGGGGAGCGUUCUGUAAGCCUGUGAAGGUGGCCUGUGAGGGUUGCUGGAGGUAUCAGAAGUGCGAAUGCUGACAUAAGUAACGAUAAAGCGGGUGAAAAGCCCGCUCGCCGGAAGACCAAGGGUUCCUGUCCAACGUUAAUCGGGGCAGGGUGAGUCGACCCCUAAGGCGAGGCCGAAAGGCGUAGUCGAUGGGAAACGGGUUAAUAUUCCCGUACUUGGUGUUACUGCGAAGGGGGGACGGAGAAGGCU